UCUAUAAUAAGCUAAAUUUUAUUUAUAAAGCUUUUAAAUUUUUAAUUUAAAAAUGAUUAGAUAUCUUAUAGAA
Molecule: transfer RNA, 73 nt
Filed under: Haplothrips aculeatus
Lineage: Eukaryota; Metazoa; Arthropoda; Insecta; Thysanoptera; Phlaeothripidae
Description: tRNA-Lys
Source: RNAcentral